Molecule: ribosomal RNA, 435 nt
Filed under: Triticum aestivum (bread wheat)
Lineage: Eukaryota; Viridiplantae; Streptophyta; Magnoliopsida; Poales; Poaceae
Description: partial small subunit ribosomal RNA
Source: RNAcentral
AUGAAAAACACCUUCGAGCGGCAUGGGAAAAGCUUCAACCGAUGUAUGAAAAAGCUUCAACGGUGUGUGAAAAGCUUCAACCUUGAAAAAAAAGCUUCAAUGGCCAUGGAAAAACAGCUUCAACCCGGCAUGGCCGUUGAUGGCAUGACGGUGCUGCAUCGCCACCGAGCUAUGACCAUCACUACGUGGAGCUGCGACCAGAGGAGGCAGCUGCUACAUGUGUGGAGCCGGGGGCAAGGAGAUGCAGAUGGCAACCAGCGACGAGGACGGCCAGCGAGGGUCCCGACCGGCGACGAGGAUGCCGCGGUGGAGCUUCAAGCUCCGUUUUUCUCGCGGAGGUAUGGUGGAGGUGUCGGCGGAGCUCGAGGCCGUUGCAAUUUUUAUCCAGGAGGGGAGGGGAGUGGAGGGGAGGGUGGGUGUGGGGAACGACUGUGA